This 686-nucleotide unclassified non-coding RNA is filed under the name Hevea brasiliensis (rubber tree). Lineage: Eukaryota; Viridiplantae; Streptophyta; Magnoliopsida; Malpighiales; Euphorbiaceae. The record is from RNAcentral.
AAGUUUCAAUUUUAAAAGAACCUUGCCUUCGAAGGUCGGUUAAGAUAUAGUGUCUACAACAGGCAGUGUGAUCCUGUUAUCAUUUAGAAUUCCUAUGACCAGUUUCUCUACUGCUGAAUGCAUCACCAAACACCAGGAUUUUAAAUAUCACCUAUUACUGGAAUUUGUAAGGGGGCAAAACAAUAUUUACUAAUCAAUGACUGUGACCUUCAGAGCAUACUGUUUAUCAAAGUGACCUUAUUGGCUGUAACAGACAUUGCUGGCCAUUUCGCAUGUGUAACUGCAAUAAAACUGUUGACUAUGUUUUUUAUUUUACUGUUCUUCCUUUUCUUAGCAACCAGCUACUGAAACCACACCACCAGCUCCUCCUGCCUUUUUUUAUUUCUAAACUUGAACAAGUUAACUUGAUGCCAAAAAACUUGAUGCUAGGCCUCACUUUUCAUUUACAAGGAUAACACAAAAACCGUUUGACAAAAUAAGGUUUAGGUGUUAAUUGUAUUGAUAUACUGUAUACUAAUUUUUUUAGGGUAGAAUAUAUACUCUAUAUUAAUUAAGUUAUUGGUUUAAUGUUGAUUUUGAGUAAUUUUGAUAAUAUUGUAAAAAUACAUAAUGUAGCGGUAGCUGAUUCAGGCUGAUUCUGCAACUGUCUGACUGCAACCUAUUCUAGGGCUGAGCAGAAUUCGGUU